This is an RNA transcript of Oncorhynchus kisutch (coho salmon), 6606 nucleotides long. It is a transcript of the gene named adhesion G protein-coupled receptor L2, with no coding region annotated. NCBI's taxonomy places the organism in Eukaryota, Metazoa, Chordata, Actinopteri, Salmoniformes, Salmonidae. The transcript has 24 exons. The record is from RefSeq and is a predicted model, not a curated record.
GGCUCACGGUUUCUUCGCUUGUUUGUAUGGGGAGUUCGACUGGCUCUGGCUCAGCGGUGUGUAGAUAGAGGAGGGAAGAGAUUGACUGGAGCACAAGCCCGACCUGAGACCCCCGAACUGAAGUCUCAUUCUAGAAUGUUUCAGCAUUGUUUUAGGCGACUUUCAGAAUACAUUGACAUCAUCGUGGAAGACGAGUGCCUGCAUUUUUUUUAGGAUAUGAGCUGAUUUGCUUCUCAUUCGCAUCGUUUACUAUAGCCUAAAAUUACAGCCGUGCAGUUGUUGAAUUCAUUGCGUCCCCUCGAAAGGAAAAUGUGGAUGCGUGAGAGAGGGAUAUGGAAGAAACCUAUUGAUUAGGCCUAAUAGUUCCGAACAUCAGCUCGCUAUGGAAGAGUUCGUCAGGUCCUUGGGGGCGCAUGGACAUGGAGAGGGAGAGAUACCUGCCACAAGAAACAACACGAUCUGUCCCUCGUAAGGGGAGCAUGCAUCGGAACCACGGACGUCUUUGUGUUGCCCGCUGCGUAUACCGAGUUUGAGGGUGGCCUAUAGCCUGCUGAAGGGGUAACCACUCUCUCUGUGUUACUUCGGUGCCGAACUGCAAUAUUUGUCAAUCACCAUUUAGGACUAUUCGCCCCCAAAUAUGACAAGAUGACUGGAGAGGCUUCUCCUAGAACCACGGAUCGCUGACUACUCCCAGACUCCUCUUCUUCUAUUCUAUAUCCUAAAGCCACAGUCGUUUGCUAGCAGGCACCUGAAGCGGCUUCAGUACUCGGCAACGAUGACUCCUGCAGCAUGGAGGUGUCUAGUUCUCCAUGGUCUGCUCACCCUCACUCAUCUCCAUUGUUCAGAAGGAUUCAGUCGUGCCGCUCUGCCGUUUGGCCUGGUCAGAAGAGAGCUCUCUUGCGAGGGCUACGCCAUUGAUCUCCGCUGCCCCGGUGCUGAUGUCAUCAUGAUCGAGACGGCCAACUACGGCCGCACGGACAACAAGAUCUGCGACGCCGACCCGUUCCAGAUGGAGAACAUCAACUGCUACCUCCCCGAUGCCUACAAGAUCAUAUCACAAAGGUGCAACAACCGUACCCAGUGUGUGGUUGUGACUGGCUCUGAUGUCUUCCCUGAUCCUUGUCCUGGCACUUACAAGUACCUAGAGGUCCAGUAUGAAUGUGUCCCAUAUAAAGUGGAACAAAAAGUUUUCAUUUGUCCCGGGACCCUGAAGGAGGUGGGGGAGCCCACGUUUGUGUUUGAGGUGGAGCAACAGGCGGGGGCGUGGUCUAAAGACCCCCUGCAGGCAGGAGACAAGGUCUUCUUCAUGCCCUGGACGCCGUACCGCACUGACACCCUUAUUGAGUAUGCCUCCCUGGAGGACUUAAAAAAUGGCCGCCAGACUACGACCUAUAAACUCCCACAUCGUGUUGACGGCACGGGCUUUGUGGCCUACGACGGGGCCAUCUUCUUUAACAAGGAGCGCACGCGCAACAUUGUGAAAUUUGAUCUCCGCACGCGCAUCAAGAGUGGUGAGGCCAUUGUUGCCAACGCCAACUAUCACGACACCUCGCCGUACCGCUGGGGCGGCAAGACGGACAUAGACCUCGGUGUCGACGAGCGGGGGUUGUGGGUGAUCUACGCAACGGAGCAAAACAACGGACGAAUCGUAAUCUCACAGCUCAACCCUUACACGCUCCGCUUCGAGGCCACCUGGGAGACGGCGUACGACAAGAGAUCCGCCUCCAAUGCCUUCAUGGUGUGUGGCGUGCUGCACGUGGUGCGGUCCACCUACGAGGAGAACGAGAGCGAGACGGCCAAGAGCCACAUCGACUACAUCUACAACACCAAGCUAAGCCAGGGAGAGUACACGGACAUCCUGUUCCCCAACCAGUACCAGUACAUCGCUGCUGUGGAUUACAACCCCAGAGAUAACCAGCUGUACGUGUGGAAUAACUUUUACAUCCUGCGCUACGACCUGGAGUAUGACGCUGAGAAAGACCCUGCUGACGUGCCAACUAUAGAAGACGUCUCCCUCUCCUCGGCCCUGCCUGAGACCACCACUAUCAUCACCACCACCAUGGUCAUAGUCAAGGUCCCAGUUAACACCACAGUUCCAGCAGACCCCAGGGAUGGGAGAGAGAGAGAGGCGGGUAAACCAGCGGAGGACCCCCAUGGUACAGCUGACCCCACCACCCCAGAGAUCCCUCCCACCCCCAGGCGCUUCUGUGAGGGAGGGAUGAUGAGGGGUAUCUCCUGGCCCCAGACACACACUGGAGCCACAGUGGAAAGGCCCUGCCCCAAAGGAACCAGAGGCAUCGCCUCCUACCUCUGCACGGUAGCAGGGGGGACCUGGAACCCAAAGGGACCCGACCUCAGUAACUGUACCUCCCACUGGGUCGCUCAAGUGGCACAAAAGAUCCGUAGUGGGGAGAACGCGGCUAACCUAGCCAAUGAACUGGCCCACCACACACAGGGCCCGGUGUUCGCCGGUGACGUCAGCUCAUCAGUGCGUCUCAUGGAGCAGCUGGUUGACAUCCUGGAUGCUCAGCUCCAGGAGCUACGGCCUAGCGAAAAGGACUCGGCUGGGCGGAGCUUCAACAAGCUUCAAAAGAGAGAGAGGACAUGCAGGGCAUAUAUGAAGGCCAUUGUGGAUACGGUUGACAACCUCCUGAGGCCGGAAGCCCUGAAGUCCUGGGAAGACAUGAAUUCCACGGAGCAAACGCACGCCGCCACCAUGUUACUGGAUACCCUGGAGGAAGGAGCCUUCGUCCUUGCCGACAACCUGAUUGAGCCCGCUGUAGUCAAAGUGCCUGCAGACAAUAUCAUGCUGGAUGUGUAUGUGCUCAGUACAGACGGCCAGGUGCAGGACUUCAGGUUCCCCCAGACCAGCAAGGGUGGAGCCUCCAUUCAGCUGUCUGCAAACACAGUCAAAGUUAACAGUAAAAACGGUGUGGCUAAGCUGGUGUUUGUCCUCUACAAGCACCUGGGCCAGUUCCUCAGUACAGAGAACGCCACGCUCCGAGGGGGAGGACGUAACCUCUCAGACCUGACCGUCAACUCGCACAUCCUGGCCGCCUCCAUCACCAAGGAGUCCAGCCGUGUGUUCGUGUCUGACCCCGUCAUCUUCACCCUGGAGCACCUCGACAAGGAGCACUACGACAACCCCAACUGCUCAUUCUGGAACUACUCUGAGAGGAGUAUGAUAGGCUACUGGUCCACUCAGGGCUGUAAGCUCCUGGACACCAACAAGAGCCACACCACCUGUUCCUGUAGUCACCUGACCAACUUUGCCAUCCUAAUGGCCCAUAGAGGGAACGUGGCAGAGGGGAGUGUCCAUGAGCUGCUGCUGACGGUGAUAACCCGGAUGGGAAUCGCUGUGUCGCUGGUGUGUCUGGCCAUCAGCCUCUUCACCUUCUGCUUCUUCAGGGGCCUUCAGAGUGACCGCAACACCAUCCACAAGAACCUCUGCCUCAACCUUUUCAUUGCUGAGCUGGUCUUUCUUGUGGGCAUCAAUAUGACUGAACCCAAGCUGGUGUGUUCCAUCAUUGCGGUCGUUCUUCAUUUCUUCUUCCUCGCGGCGUUUGCCUGGAUGUGCCUGGAGGGCGUGCAGCUCUACCUCAUGCUGGUUGAGGUGUUUGAGAGUGAGUUCUCCCGCAGGAAGUACUAUUACGCCUCAGGAUACCUCUUUCCCGCUGUGGUGGUGGGAAUCUCGGCCGCCAUCGACUACCGCAGCUACGGGACACCGAGAGCCUGCUGGCUGAGGGUGGAUAACCACUUCAUUUGGAGCUUCAUAGGACCUGUCACCUUCAUUAUCAUGCUCAAUCUCAUCUUCCUGGUGGUGACCAUGUACAAGAUGGUGAAGCACUCCACUUCUAUGAAACCCGACUCGACCCGGCUGGGCGGUAUCAGAUCCUGGGUGCUCGGAGCUUUCGCCCUGCUCUUUCUCCUGGGCCUGACCUGGUCCUUUGGUCUGUUCUUCCUCAACGAGUCCUCCGUUGUCAUGGCGUACCUCUUCACCAUCUUCAACACUCUGCAAGGGAUGUUCAUCUUUAUCUUUCACUGCCUCCUCCAGAAAAAGGUCCGUAAAGAGUACAGCAAAUGCUUCCGCCAGUCCCAGUGCUGCGGAGGUCUGCCUUCUGAAGGGUCCCACAGCUCGGCCAAGACGGCCACGUCUCGAUCCACCGCACGCUACUCCUCCGCCACACAGGUACAGUACAUACUAGAGUCGUAUCAGGAGGAUGUGGAACGACACAGUGAGGAAGCAGUCAGAAUCCUCCUUCAUCUCCGGAGACAUCAACAGCACCUCCACCCUGAACCACCAGGGAAUGACUGGCAACUACCUCCUAACUAACCCUCUGCUCCGAGCCCACGACCCUAACAACCCCUAUAACAACCUGCUGGCUGAGACGGUGGUGUGCAACGCCCCCUCCCCUCCGGCAUUUCACCCACCAGCAGUUCUUAGGCCAGAUAGCCUGAGCAGACACACUUGAUGUGAGUGGUGGCAAAGGCAGCACUCUCUGACCCACAGCAAGGACAUCAGUGCCAUGGACACCCUCCCCCUCAACGGAAACUUUAACAACUGCUACUCCCUGCGUGACCAUGACGAUGACUAUGAGGACGUUGUGGGCGGGGGUGUGGUCGGGGGUGUGGUCUGCGGCCCAGGGGACCUGGGGGGCCUCAGCCUGGACGACGCUGCCUUCGAGAAGAUGAUCAUCUCUGAGCUGGUUCACAACAACUUGAGGCCCCGCGGGCCCCCUAAGGGCCACAACCCCCACCGGGAUAGCAGGGAGAGGGACAGGGACCGGGCCCCUCCCCAAACCAGGGUGACUGGGGACAGGGAUAGGGAUGGUGGGGGUGGAAGCGGCAGCGGCAGCGAGGAUGAUGCCAUAGUGAACGACCGUGCUGAGGCUUCGUCCCCCCAGAGAGGUAGUAUAGUUGGGGUAAUUGGAGGAGGUCACCCUACCCUGGAGUUGCUGCUGCACCCCCACCAUAAGGAGGUGUUAGAGGCCCCCCUCCUACCCCAGAGGACUCACUCCCUGCUCUACAGCGCCCACAAGGCCCCCAGGAGGGCUGUGGAGGGGCCUGGGGGCCACGGCUCAAAGACAGUGGGGGCGAUGGAGGACGGGGACUCCCAGUACACCAGCAUGCCCAACCUGAGAGACUCCCCCUCGGCUUCACCCUACCCCCCCGAUGAAGCCGACGACCUGUCCCCUUCCCCCAGGAGUGAGGGGGAGGACCUGUACCAUAAGAGCAUGCCUGAGCUGGUCGAUGGGCCCCAGCCCCUGUCUUACUACCACAUACACCGGGGCACCAGCGAUGGGUGCAUUGUGCCCCCCAGCGCUGAGGACUGUGAACCUGAGGGACAGGGCCCCCAGGAUGGACAGAUGCAGCUCAUUACCAGCCUCUGAGCAGGUGGAUGGAGGAAGGAGAGGAAGCACCUCUCUGGUGUUUUUGCACAGGUUUGAACAUAUGUAUGUGUGUGUGGGCUUUGGUUGAUGUCAAGACUAUUGCCAGCCCUCACCGGUCCUCCUCCUGGUCCUCCUCUGCACUCCCAAUGACCCGUCAGAGCAAGAAGUGAAAUGUUUGUGGCUGGUAGGUAGGAGAUGGAUGGCUUAUUCACACAUACACUCGGUCACAUACAAAUGUCCUUUGGACAAGAACUGCUCCGCUCUGCUGUGGGACUACAGAGAAGGAAAUGCACAGACUACUCAAUGUGUCAGAGAGUAGUCUGUCUGGCGCCAUCCCUGUCUGUCUGGCGCCAUCCCUGUCUGUCUGGCGCCAUCCCUGUCCAGCUUGCAUUUGUAUUAUAUGGAAGAAGAAAAUAAAUAUGGUUUCAAACUCCAGGUUUAGAACUUUAGGAACACUGGGGAAGUCUUCCUGGAGGGGUUUCCAGUAUGAGGAUCUGUUGAGUCAUUCCACUCCAGAACCUAGAGUCAUUUCACUCCACAUUGAGGAAUGUCAAAUGAAGAACCACUAAUUCAGACUCAGGCAUUAUAUUUUCUCUAUUGCACAUUUAACUGUUGUCAGAGUAACAGCUAAAUAAAAUAUAUUUUGCUGUACUACAGUGUAACAAAAAAAAAAAGAUGUUGUGGCAACCAAUUAUACAACCUUUCAAUGUUGAGGAGAUUGUCCUCAAAACAGGUUGCUCAAACGGUGCAAAUGUCUUUUUUCCUCUCACUUGACACGUUGUAGUAUGUUUGAACAUAAAAUAUAUAUACUUUUUUGAAAAUCUCAUAAGAAACAAUACUCACAUCUCCGCUUGUGAAGUGCUUUUUGCUUUCAUGAAUGAAGAGUUUUGGCAGUAAUAUUUGUUGUUAACACCAUGCCAUGCACAGAUUUGGAGUGAAUUGGAUCCUUGUGUAAUUUAUUUCACUUGAAAGAAAAUAAAAACAUUUGUGUCAAUGCGAUAUUUCAAGCAUAUUACGAGCAUAUUUUCGCCUUUGACAUUAAUUUAUUAACAGAAUUAUUGAAAAUUUGAAAAAUAAAAAUGUUUGGGUAGUGCGACUUUCAGCACGGUUUAGAUUAAGUUCAUUUAUUUUGUAAGUGCCCAUUGUCAGCUGAUAUAAAAAUUCAACUCUUGUUUGAUAUCAAAUAAAUGUGAGAUUUUUUCUUGUUUGCAAUGGC